Molecule: non-coding RNA, 74 nt
Organism: Perkinsus marinus ATCC 50983
Lineage: Eukaryota; Perkinsozoa; Perkinsida; Perkinsidae
Source: Rfam
GCCCGAUUAGUUCAGCUGGAUAGAAUGUCUGCCUACGGAGUAGAUGGUCGUAGUUUCGAAUCCUGCAUCGGGUA